AAAAUGGGCCAGCAUCCCCGUGGAACGCUUUCGACACCUUGUAGAGUCCAUUCCCCGACAAAUUGAGACUGUUCUGAGGGCAAAAGGGGGUACAACUUAAUAUUAAAGUGUUGUUUUAUAUACUUUUGUACACAAAAUACUGUAUAUAGUUAUAGAUAGGCUAGACUGCAUUGUCUGCAUAAUAGUAAUUUGUGAAGAUUGUAGCUAUAGCCUACCAGAUUCCUUAAUUUCUUUCUACCAACAGGAAAUAAUGGUUAGUACAGCAUGCCAAACUGACCCCUGGGUGUCAGAGUGUUCCUGUGCUGCGGUGGAGAAGAGGUUCACCGGAGCCAUCACUAAAGAGCUCGAGGCCUAGCUAAAUUGCGUUCACCAUAAUCAGUAUGCAACCGAGUCCCGCCACAGAUGGAGCUGACAGAGAGAGCGAGUGAGAUGAGGGAAGACCAGGAUUCGCUGUAUGAAACUGAGAGCUCAGAAUUACAAUCAUCACAGUGCGAGCGAGCCAUGAGAUACUAUCGAAGAGUAUGUGCAAGAUCCGAAAUAUAGCAUGCUGAAGGAGUUGUUCAUGAGCCAGGAUGUCGAGCAGGUGUCAUCAGUUCAUCCCUGAAAAUAAAUUGUUUUUCCAUCACCAUGGAGACCAUCGAGUGUGUUGUGGACCACAGGAGGAAGUUGGAGUCCCAGACCAGAGUGGGAAAUGUUUGCAGGGAAUCUGUUGGUGCCAUCACCGGUCUUCCUAACUGGCGGCUCCCACUCCACAUUUGUAGAAACAUGUUGCCUCCUCAGCCUGGUGUCCAUGUCGCUGCGACAGUUUGCAAACCAACCUUGCAUCUACAUUGUGCCAGAGGUUAAACAUGUGGGCCCAGCACACAGAGGCGAGUCUGGCUAGAAUUGGUGACAGUCCACUGAUUGUAUGUGGAGAUGCACGGCGUGAUUCGCCAGGCCACUGUGUCUUCUUUGGCACUUACACCGUCCUGGGCUCUGCUUCCCACCUGAUCCUGCCCAGGAGACUUUGCAUGUGACUGAAUUGAAGAAUGGCUACUGGUUGGACAGAGGGACAGAGGGAUUAGUGAGAUGCCUGCAAACACAUGAUUUAUUUUAUUAACCAUUGAGAUAGAACUCUUUUACAAGAGAGCCCUGUAUACGUUUACAAAUAAAGCACAGUACAUACAUAAAACACAACAGCCCAACCAAAUGCAUUAUAGUAAAACACAUAAUACACAACAUUAAACCUAUUUAAGAAAAGCAAUCGCAAUGCUGAAACAUAAAAGUUAUUUUAAAAUCCUUUUGAGGUAAGCUAUAGCCUCACCUACAUUUUUGUAGCUAGCCUCAGGGUUGUAAGUGUGUAUUUGGUGGAUGUACGAAGAUCACUUAGGCCACUUUUUUUAGUAAUAAUGCUUUUAUUAUUUUCCUUAACUGGCCCAUGGAUGCAGCAUUGAAACCCUGGCCACUGACAGGUGUCCACAUGUGAGGGUGCACUUGAGGGCAUGAGCUUUGGCACAUUGCCAAAGGUGCGAGGAAGAAGCUGGUGGCCACCGGGAAGCCAGAGGUACUGCCAUGGAAGAGGGCAUUAACACACCACUUGUGGUACUGUGAUGCCACUGUUGGUGGGAGUGUCCAGGUGCUGAAAGAAAAGUGGAUCACCACAGUUCGCCCUAUUACAAGUGAGCACCAGUGGGUCACUGGAGAUACACUCGACUGCUGUGAGCACCUUCACACCUGAAGAAGGAACACCUCAUCCUCAACCCGAGAUUGUUGAAGGAUCUCGAAAGUGACGAAGUGUGUUCAGACAGGUGAACUUUAGAGUGUACAUGCCCUGUACACUAAAUACGUGCCCAGGAGGAACACGUUCGGCCUACAGGGGAUGUCGCAAGACUCCAAGUGGCUGCCUUAGACCACAAUCAUUCGGUGGACAGACAUCAGGCUACAACACAUGAGGGAGUGCUCCGUUUCAAGCAAGAGUUCUCCAAGGCUGCCAGGGCGUUUGUGGUGAAACCCAUGGUGUUUCAGGUCUGAGCUUCUAGACUGCUUCGUUGACCGCAGUGCCAAUGGACCAUCCCAGCGGACUCUCCUGAGUGCCCAAAGAGAGAGAGUGGCAGUCACCUUGGGAAAGCGGACUGGUGUUCCAAAAAUGGAGAAGGAGCAGGCCAUUCAACAGCGAAUUCAAAGAUACACCCAUCCAUAGAGGGAAUCUGAGUGGAAUGGCUUUUCCACAGAUUCUUUUGACCUGUUAAACAGAUGUGCUUCCUUGUCUCGGACCUGCUGUUUCGACUCUCUCUCCUAGACCUGCUGUCUCGACUCUCUCUUCCGGACCUGCUGUCUCUACUCUCUCUCUCGGACCUGCUGUCUCGACUCUCUCCCGGACCUGCUGUCUCGACUCUCUCUCCCGGACCUGCUGUCUCGACUCUCUCUCCCGGACCUGCUGUCUCGACUCUCUCUCCCGGACCUGCUGUCUCGACUCUCUCUCCCGGACCUGCUGUUUCGACUCUCUCUCCCGGACAUGCUGUCUCAACUCUCUCUCCCAGACCUGCUGUCUCGACCCUCUCUCCCGGACAUGCUGUCUCGACUCUCUCUCUCGGACCUGCUGU
Long non-coding RNA from Oncorhynchus tshawytscha (Chinook salmon), 2582 nucleotides. RefSeq lists it as uncharacterized. The transcript has 4 exons. Lineage: Eukaryota; Metazoa; Chordata; Actinopteri; Salmoniformes; Salmonidae. The record is from RefSeq and is a predicted model, not a curated record.